CUGGAGCACAUCAAGUUUGAAAAGGGAGAAUACAUCUCCACAGUUUUCCUGUGUAGCACAUCCUGCAGGAAACAAAUUAAGAAGUCAAAGGCAAGGACCCUGCGAUAGCAACUUCACGGACUCUAAAUUCCACUGCAAGUGUUAACCUCCGGCUACAUUUACAUUUGGAAGGGAUGUGGAUGCACAGAUGUGCCAGGGGACUCAGCAAUCCAGCUGCACACAACUCUCAGGUCCAUGGAAAAGCAGGUUACUUCAAGAAUCAACGCUAUCUAUUACU
Molecule: long non-coding RNA, 277 nt
Organism: Numida meleagris (helmeted guineafowl)
Lineage: Eukaryota; Metazoa; Chordata; Aves; Galliformes; Numididae
Exons: 3
Source: RefSeq, a predicted model, not a curated record